GCCUUCGUGGUGUAAUGGUCAAGCACACUUGGCGCCUAUUCGAGAAGUCCGUGGUUCGAGUCCCGCCGACGGCA
This 74-nucleotide transfer RNA is filed under the name Stegodyphus mimosarum. It matches the Rfam family "tRNA". From Rfam's summary of the family: Transfer RNA (tRNA) molecules are approximately 80 nucleotides in length. The record is from Rfam by way of RNAcentral. Lineage: Eukaryota; Metazoa; Arthropoda; Arachnida; Araneae; Eresidae.